UUGACCCGGCGAUGUCCGAAUGGGGAAACCCAGUGCAAUCCGUUGCACUAUCGUUAACUGAAUACAUAGGUUAACGAGGCGAACCGGGGGAACUGAAACAUCUAAGUACCCCGAGGAAAAGAAAUCAACCGAGAUUCCCCCAGUAGCGGCGAGCGAACGGGGAGCAGCCCGGAGUCUGAAUCAGCUUGUGUGUUAGUGGAACGGUCUGGAAAGUCCGACGGUACAGGGUGAUAGUCCCGUACACGAAAGCACACAUGCUGUGAACUCGAAGAGUAGGGCGGGACACGUGGUAUCCUGUCUGAAUAUGGGGGGACCAUCCUCCAAGGCUAAAUACUCCUGACUGACCGAUAGUGAACCAGUACCGUGAGGGAAAGGCGAAAAGAACCCCGGCGAGGGGAGUGAAAAAGAACCUGAAACCGUGUACGUACAAGCAGUGGGAGCCUCUUUAUGGGGUGACUGCGUACCUUUUGUAUAAUGGGUCAGCGACUUAUAUUCUGUAGCAAGGUUAACCGUAUAGGGGAGCCGAAGGGAAACCGAGUCUUAACUGGGCGUUAAGUUGCAGGGUAUAGACCCGAAACCCGGUGAUCUAGCCAUGGGCAGGUUGAAGGUUGGGUAACACUAACUGGAGGACCGAACCGACUAAUGUUGAAAAAUUAGCGGAUGACCUGUGGCUGGGGGUGAAAGGCCAAUCAAACCGGGAGAUAGCUGGUUCUCCCCGAAAGCUAUUUAGGUAGCGCCUCGUGAACUCAUCUUCGGGGGUAGAGCACUGUUUCGGCUAGGGGGCCAUCCCGGCUUACCAACCCGAUGCAAACUACGAAUACCGAAGAAUGUUAUCACGGGAGACACACGGCGGGUGCUAACGUCCGUCGUGAAGAGGGAAACAACCCAGACCGCCAGCUAAGGUCCCAAAGUCAUGGUUAAGUGGGAAACGAUGUGGGAAGGCACAGACAGCCAGGAUGUUGGCUUAGAAGCAGCCAUCAUUUAAAGAAAGCGUAAUAGCUCACUGGUCGAGUCGGCCUGCGCGGAAGAUGUAACGGGGCUAAACCAUGCACCGAAGCUGCGGCAGCGACACUAUGUGUUGUUGGGUAGGGGAGCGUUCUGUAAGCCGUUGAAGGUGUGCUGUGAGGCAUGCUGGAGGUAUCAGAAGUGCGAAUGCUGACAUAAGUAACGAUAAAGCGGGUGAAAAGCCCGCUCGCCGGAAGACCAAGGGUUCCUGUCCAACGUUAAUCGGGGCAGGGUGAGUCGACCCCUAAGGCGAGGCCGAAAGGCGUAGUCGAUGGGAAACAGGUUAAUAUUCCUGUACUUGGUGUUACUGCGAAGGGGGGACGGAGAAGGCUAUGUCAGCCGGGCGACGGUUGUCCCGGUUUAAGCAUGUAGGCGGAGGUUCCAGGUAAAUCCGGUACCUUGUUAACGCUGAGGUGUGAUGACGAGGCACUACGGUGCUGAAGUGAUAAAUGCCCUGCUUCCAGGAAAAGCCUCUAAGCAUCAGGUAACACGAAAUCGUACCCCAAACCGACACAGGUGGUCAGGUAGAGAAUACCAAGGCGCUUGAGAGAACUCGGGUGAAGGAACUAGGCAAAAUGGUGCCGUAACUUCGGGAGAAGGCACGCUGAUGUGUAGNNNNNNNNNNNNNNNNNNNNNNNNNNNNNNNNNNNNNNNNNNNNNNNNNNNNNNNNNNNNNNNNNNNNNNNNNNNNNNNNNNNNNNNNNNNNNNNNNNCGGAGCUGAAAUCAGUCGAAGAUACCAGCUGGCUGCAACUGUUUAUUAAAAACACAGCACUGUGCAAACACGAAAGUGGACGUAUACGGUGUGACGCCUGCCCGGUGCCGGAAGGUUAAUUGAUGGGGUUAGCGGCAACGCGAAGCUCUUGAUCGAAGCCCCGGUAAACGGCGGCCGUAACUAUAACGGUCCUAAGGUAGCGAAAUUCCUUGUCGGGUAAGUUCCGACCUGCACGAAUGGCGUAAUGAUGGCCAGGCUGUCUCCACCCGAGACUCAGUGAAAUUGAACUCGCUGUGAAGAUGCAGUGUACCCGCGGCAAGACGGAAAGACCCCGUGAACCUUUACUAUAGCUUGACACUGAACACUGGUCCUUGAUGUGUAGGAUAGGUGGGAGGCUUUGAAGCGUGGACGCCAGUCUGCGUGGAGCCAACCUUGAAAUACCACCCUUUAAUGGCUGGUGUUCUAACGUAGACCCGUUACCCGGGUUGCGGACAGUGUCUGGUGGGUAGUUUGACUGGGGCGGUCUCCUCCCAAAGAGUAACGGAGGAGCACGAAGGUUGGCUAAUCCUGGUCGGACAUCAGGAGGUUAGUGCAAUGGCAUAAGCCAGCUUGACUGCGAGCGUGACGGCGCGAGCAGGUGCGAAAGCAGGUCAUAGUGAUCCGGUGGUUCUGAAUGGAAGGGCCAUCGCUCAACGGAUAAAAGGUACUCCGGGGAUAACAGGCUGAUACCGCCCAAGAGUUCAUAUCGACGGCGGUGUUUGGCACCUCGAUGUCGGCUCAUCACAUCCUGGGGCUGAAGUAGGUCCCAAGGGUAUGGCUGUUCGCCAUUUAAAGUGGUACGCGAGCUGGGUUUAGAACGUCGUGAGACAGUUCGGUCCCUAUCUGCCGUGGGCGCUGGAGAAUUGAGGGGGGCUGCUCCUAGUACGAGAGGACCGGAGUGGACGCAUCACUGGUGUUCGGGUUGUCAUGCCAAUGGCACUGCCCGGUAGCUAAAUGCGGAAGAGAUAAGUGCUGAAAGCAUCUAAGCACGAAACUUGCCCCGAGAUGAGUUCUCCCUGAGACUUUAAGUCUCCUGAAGGAACGUUGAAGACGACGACGUUGAUAGGUCGGGUGUGUAAGCGCAGCGAUGCGUUGAGCUAACCGAUACUAAUGAACCGUGAGGCUUAACCUUACAAC
Molecule: ribosomal RNA, 2894 nt
Filed under: Enterobacter hormaechei
Lineage: Bacteria; Pseudomonadati; Pseudomonadota; Gammaproteobacteria; Enterobacterales; Enterobacteriaceae
Description: partial 23S ribosomal RNA
Rfam family: Bacterial large subunit ribosomal RNA
Source: RNAcentral